Anas platyrhynchos (mallard) is the source of this 1053-nucleotide long non-coding RNA. RefSeq lists it as uncharacterized. Lineage: Eukaryota; Metazoa; Chordata; Aves; Anseriformes; Anatidae. The record is from RefSeq and is a predicted model, not a curated record.
AAGGGCUCCUGGCUCAGCAGCCCUCAGACCACAGCUCUCCACUUCUCCUCCUUGUUGAUCUGAGUUCACCUCCCUGCCCGAAGGAUGUCCUACCUCAGCCAGCAGCUCAGCUCCCGCUGCUUCCCCCCCUGCGAGGUGACCUGCCCGCAGCCCUAUGCUGACGCCUGCAGCCAGCCCUGUGUCACCUCCUGCGGGGACUCCCGCGCCGUGGUCUACCCCCCACCCGUGGUCAUCACCUUCCCGGGCCCCAUCCUCAGCUCCUGCCCACAGGAGAGCUUUGUGGGCAGCUCAGCCCCACUGGGGCUGGGGCUGGGACAGCCCAGGGCUCUGCAGGGCUCCCUCUCCUAUGGGGGCUUCUCCUCCUCCUCCUCUUCCUCCUUCUCCCAGCAGUCCAGGAGGUAUCCCUACAGGGGCUGCAGGCCCUGCUGAGCACUGCAGCGUGUGGAUGGCUGGAGAAACAGCGGGGACCCAACGACAAGACGUGGCUGUGCAUCUGAGCUGAGGAGCUCCCCCAGGCCCUGGUCACCCAUGACUCCAGCUAAUCCUCUGCGACCUGUGGGUGCUGCUCAGCACCCGUGGGAACCGCUCUUCUGAUUACUUUUCUUAUCACCUUUUUGCUUUUGAAGUUGCUGCUGUUAACAUGCACUGUUUUCUCAAACUGUGUCUUUUCCAUCCUCACUGGCUAGAGGCAGAGCGAUAGGAGUUAGAAACUGAGCAAUUUGUUAUUUAGCCUGUCUGAGAACACAUGUACUGAUUUUCUGUUUUUGUGUUUAACCUGGAAGAUGUAACAGAACUCCUGUUAGGAAAGUUACUUUGCUCUCCAGGUAGGUUUUAUCAUCAGCAAAACCUUUUUGUAUAUUCCAGAGCAGAACUUGGCUGAAAAAAAUUAGCUCUGUCACAGGAAAGAAAAAGUACCUUGUGUGAAAUGCUUGGUGCUUGCUGAUGAAGUGUUUAUAAUCUUGUUUGAGAAACUGGAAGCAUUCUUUCAUGUUUUGUCGUUUGUUAUUCUCAAUGCCAUUUCUUGUUCCAAAUAAAAAAUCAUACUGCAUCCUA